CCGCGCGUAAACACACGCCUACGCGGGCCCGAGAGGCCUUGCGCCAGCCUCGGGAAGGGGCGGGUCCCGGGACCACAUCUGCGGGGUCGGCCUAGCCCGGCCGGUGGGAACAGCGUUCCGACGGCCCGUGCCGCCGCGAGCUCGGCGUCCGGGACUGCGGAUCCUGGCAUGCUGCGCGGAAACACGGUGCCCACUGCUGGGGCAGGAGCUUGCUUCUCGGUGUAACAGGAGGUCACGGCCACUAGAUGGAGACAUCCCUUCGUAGACUCCAUCCGCCCAAGUCUCAUCCCAGAGUCGUGCACGACACGGCCGGCGGGGGCUGAUUCCAGGACUAUGGCUCCCACCGCUGCCGCCGAGAGCCAGGCCCGCUCCUCUGAGCUUCUGCAAAGGCCAGCGUUGUUUCCUCAAGCACGCUCCCCAAACUGCUACACUGCAUCCUUUGGCGCAAAAGAUGGCAAAUGGACAAGCGUGUUUUCUUUCACUCGUUAUACAGUUAUUAGGUAUUUGUUCGAAUGUGUAAAGGAAAAAAUAUAACAAAUACAUUCAGCCCGUGACAUUAGUAGUUUCACUUAAGGAUACUUCUUUUUGAAAAGGAUCACACUUAAAAUUAGAUUAAAGAAAAUCGUUAAGUAGCUAGCACGCACAAGGGCCGUGUGAAAACGGCAAGGCUGCGGGGCGCUGGGCCUCGGCUGAGGUCUGGGAAGGGGGCUGGCUGAACUGCUGCAGGGAGAGUUGGUAAAAGUCCCUGCACCGCGGCCGUGCUGGAAACUCCAUUUCCAGGAACGAACUGUCAUCUCACGAAUGGAUUGGAGGCCUCCGCCUGCUGAUCGGCAGAGAGUGAUCCCAGCCCGCUUGUCUUCCCCCGGCCUCUGAAGCAGGAGGCCUCUGAUUUGCUCUGCGCUCGUGGGUGGCUGUGUAGGUUGAAGAACCUGGAACCCUCUCAUGCUGGAGACGCAGCCAGGAAGCCACCCUCUGUGGAGUCAGAGGCCCACGGUGUGCAUGCUGCGUUGUCUGUUCCAUGCACCCAGUAGGAGCAGACGGGCUGGGGGAGGGGGAGGAUCUUUGGGGGCAAACGGCGAUUUGUGGGGCUUAGCUAACAAUUUUGAAGCCCAGAAAUCAGGAUUUGGGGAAUAAACUUGAGUAGGGAGUCA
Long non-coding RNA from Camelus dromedarius (Arabian camel), 1151 nucleotides. RefSeq lists it as uncharacterized. The transcript has 2 exons. The record is from RefSeq and is a predicted model, not a curated record. NCBI's taxonomy places the organism in Eukaryota, Metazoa, Chordata, Mammalia, Artiodactyla, Camelidae.